Molecule: ribosomal RNA, 433 nt
Filed under: uncultured bacterium
Lineage: Bacteria
Description: partial 16S ribosomal RNA
Rfam family: Bacterial small subunit ribosomal RNA
Source: RNAcentral
AACGAACGCUGGCGGCAUGCCUAACACAUGCAAGUCGAACGAGACCUUCGGGUCUAGUGGCGCACGGGUGCGUAACGCGUGGGAACCUGCACUUAGGUUCGGAAUAACUCCCCGAAAGGGGUGCUAAUACCGGAUAAUGUCUUCGGACCAAAGAUUUAUCGCCUUUGGAUGGGCCCGCGUUGGAUUAGCUAGUUGGUAGGGUAAAAGCCUACCAAGGCGACGAUCCAUAGCUGGUCUGAGAGGAUGAUCAGCCACACUGGGACUGAGACACGGCCCAGACUCCUACGGGUGGCAGCAGUGGGGAAUAUUGGACAAUGGGCGAAAGCCUGAUCCAGCAAUGCCGCGUGAGUGAUGAAGGCCUUAGGGUUGUAAAGCUCUUUUACCCGGGAUGAUAAUGACAGUACCGGGAGAAUAAGCGCCGGCUAACUCCGUG